AGAGUUUGAUCCUGGCUCAGGAUGAACGCUAGCGGCAGGCCUAACACAUGCAAGUCGAGGGGUAGAGUUCUUCGGAACUUGAGACCGGCGCACGGGUGCGUAACGCGUAUGCAAUCUACCUUAUACUAAGGGAUAGCCCAGAGAAAUUUGGAUUAAUACCUUAUAGAUAAUAAAAAGGCAUCUUUUAAUUAUAAAGAUUAUUGGUAUAAGAUGAGCAUGCGUCCCAUUAGUUAGUUGGUAAGGUAACGGCUUACCAAGACGAUGAUGGGUAGGGGUCCUGAGAGGGAGAUCCCCCACACUGGUACUGAGACACGGACCAGACUCCUACGGGAGGCAGCAGUGAGGAAUAUUGGUCAAUGGGCGCAAGCCUGAACCAGCCAUGCCGCGUGCAGGAUGACGCAUCUAUGGUGUGUAAACUGCUUUUGUACAGGAAGAAACAUCCCGACGAGUCGGGACUUGACGGUACUGUAAGAAUAAGGAUCGGCUAACUCCGUGCCAGCAGCCGCGGUAAUGUACUAGACG
RNAcentral lists this ribosomal RNA (522 nucleotides) under uncultured bacterium. Its description in RNAcentral is "bacterial SSU rRNA". It matches the Rfam family "Bacterial small subunit ribosomal RNA", at positions 8 to 534 of the family's 1533-position model. The record is from RNAcentral.